AGGUGACCGGCCACACUGGGACUGAGACACGGCCCAGACUCCUACGGGAGGCAGCAGUGGGGAAUAUUGCACAAUGGGCGCAAGCCUGAUGCAGCAACGCCGCGUGAGGGACGACGGCCUUCGGGUUGUAAACCUCUUUUAGUAGGGAAGAAGCGAAAGUGACGGUACCUGCAGAAAAAGCACCGGCUAACUACGUGCCAGCAGCCGCGGUAAUACGUAGGGUGCAAGCGUUGUCCGGAAUUAUUGGGCGUAAAGAGCUCGUAGGCGGUUUGUCGCGUCUGCUGUGAAAUCUGGGGGCUCAACCCCCAGCCUGCAGUGGGUACGGGCAGACUAGAGUGCGGUAGGGGAGAUUGGAAUUCCUGGUGUAGCGGUGGAAUGCGCAGAUAUCAGGAGGAACACCGAUGGCGAAGGCAGAUCUCUGGGCCGUAACUGACGCUGAGGAGCGAAAGCAUGGGGAGCGAACAGGAUUAGAUACCCUGGUAGUCCAUGCCGUAAACGUUGGGAACUAGAUGUGGGGACCAUUCCACGGUCUCCGUGUCGCAGCUAACGCAUUAAGUUCCCCGCCUGGGGAGUACGGCCGCAAGGCUAAAACUCAAAGGAAUUGACGGGGGCCCGCACAAGCGGCGGAGCAUGCGGAUUAAUUCGAUGCAACGCGAAGAACCUUACCAAGGCUUGACAUAUACCGGAAACGGCCAGAGAUGGUCGCCCCGCAAGGUCGGUAUACAGGUGGUGCAUGGUUGUCGUCAGCUCGUGUCGUGAGAUGUUGGGUUAAGUCCCGCAACGAGCGCAACCCUCGUUCUAUGUUGCCAGCACGUUAUGGUGGGAACUCAUAGGAGACUGCCGGGGUCAACUCGGAGGAAGGUGGGGAUGACGUCAAAUCAUCAUGCCCCUUAUGUCUUGGGCUUCACGCAUGCUACAAUGGCCGGUACAAAGGGCUGCGAUACCGUAAGGUGGAGCGAAUCCCAAAAAGCCGGUCUCAGUUCGGAUUGAGGUCUGCAACUCGACCUCAUGAAGUCGGAGUCGCUAGUAAUCGCAGAUCAGCAACGCUGCGGUGAAUACGUUCCCGGGCCUUGU
RNAcentral lists this ribosomal RNA (1074 nucleotides) under Frigoribacterium sp. RNAcentral describes it as "bacterial SSU rRNA". It matches the Rfam family "Bacterial small subunit ribosomal RNA", at positions 298 to 1384 of the family's 1533-position model. The record is from RNAcentral. Lineage: Bacteria; Bacillati; Actinomycetota; Actinomycetes; Micrococcales; Microbacteriaceae.